CGAGUGGCGGACGGGUGAGUAAUGUCUGGGAAACUGCCCGAUGGAGGGGGAUAACUACUGGAAACGGUAGCUAAUACCGCAUAACGUCGCAAGACCAAAGAGGGGACCUUCGGGCCUCUUGCCAUCGGAUGUGCCCAGAUGGGAUUAACUAGUAGGUGGGGUAACGGCUCACCUAGGCGACGAUCCCUAGCUGGUCUGAGAGGAUGACCAGCCACACUGGAACUGAGACACGGUCCAG
Molecule: ribosomal RNA, 238 nt
Filed under: uncultured bacterium
Lineage: Bacteria
Description: partial 16S ribosomal RNA
Rfam family: Bacterial small subunit ribosomal RNA
Source: RNAcentral